This 396-nucleotide ribosomal RNA is filed under the name uncultured bacterium. RNAcentral's name for it is "bacterial SSU rRNA". It matches the Rfam family "Bacterial small subunit ribosomal RNA", at positions 29 to 452 of the family's 1533-position model. The record is from RNAcentral.
AACGAACGCUGGCGGCAUGCCUAACACAUGCAAGUCGAACGAGACCUUCGGGUCUAGUGGCGCACGGGUGCGUAACGCGUGGGAAUCUGCCCUUUGCUUCGGAAUAACAGUUAGAAAUGACUGCUAAUACCGGAUGAUGUCUUCGGACCAAAGAUUUAUCGGCAAAGGAUGAGCCCGCGUAGGAUUAGGUAGUUGGUGGGGUAAAGGCCUACCAAGCCGACGAUCCUUAGCUGGUCUGAGAGGAUGAUCAGCCACACUGGGACUGAGACACGGCCCAGACUCCUACGGGAGGCAGCAGUGGGGAAUAUUGGACAAUGGGCGCAAGCCUGAUCCAGCAAUGCCGCGUGAGUGAUGAAGGCCUUCGGGUCGUAAAGCUCUUUUACCAGGGAUGAUAAU